This 1498-nucleotide ribosomal RNA is filed under the name uncultured prokaryote. Its description in RNAcentral is "partial 16S ribosomal RNA". It matches the Rfam family "Bacterial small subunit ribosomal RNA". The record is from RNAcentral.
GAGUUUGAUCCUGGCUCAGGAUGAACGCUAGCGGUGUGCUUAAUACAUGCAAGUCGAACGGUAGCCUUUGAAUUCGUUUGAAGGUGACAGUGGCGAACGGGUGCGUAACACGUAGGUGACCUGCCCUGGAGAGGGGGACAACCAGUGGAAACGAUGGCUAAUACCCCGGAUGUACUACUAUUUAGAAAGGUAGUACUAAAGGUACGACGCACUAGGAGGGACCUGCGGUCCAUCAGCUAGUUGGUGAGGUAACGGCUUACCAAGGCAAAGACGGGUAGGGGGCGUGAGAGCGUGACCCCCCACACUGGUACUGAUACACGGACCAGAUACCUGCGGGUAGCAGCAGCAAGGAAUAUUGCCCAAUGGACGAAAGUCUGAGGCAGCAACGCCGCGUGGGGGACGAAGGCCCUCGGGUUGUAAACUCCUUUUCUGAGGGAAGAGAAAGGACAGUACCUCAGGAAUAAGCUUCGGCUAACUACGUGCCAGCAGCCGCGGUAAAACGUAGGAAGCGAGCGUUAUCCGGAUUUAUUGGGCGUAAAGCGCAUGCAGGUUGUUUUCAAAGUUGGACGUGAAAGCUCUCGGCUCAACUGGGAGAGGCCGUUCAAAACUGGGAGGCUUGAGGGUGGUAGGGGUGAGUGGAAUUCCAGGUGUAGUGGUGAAAUACGUAGAUAUCUGGAGGAACACCAGUGGCGAAAGCGGCUCACUGGACUAACCCUGACGCUGAGAUGCGAAAGCUAGGGGAGAGAACGGGAUUAGAAACCCCGGUAUUCCUAGCCGUAAACGAUGUCAACUAGGUGUAGGAGGUCAUUGAAUCUUCCUGUACUGUAGCUAACGCGAUAAGUUGACCGCCUGGGGAGUACGGCCGCAAGGUUAAAACUCAAAUGAAUUGACGGGGGCCCGCACAAGCGGUGGAGCAUGUGGUUUAAUUCGAUCCAACGCGAAGAACCUUACCAGGGCUUGACAUAUACGUGGUAGUGAUUGGAAACAUGAUCGACCCUUCGGGGAGCGUAUACAGGUGCUGCAUGGCUGUCGUCAGCUCGUGCCGUGAGGUGUUAGGUUAAGUCCUGUAACGAGCGCAACCCUCGUCGUUAGUUAUACGUGUCUAACGAGACUGCCGGUGAUAAGCCGGAGGAAGGUGGGGAUGACGUCAAGUCAGCAUGGCCUUUAUGUCCUGGGCUACACACACGCUACAAUGGCCGACACAAUGGGUAGCCAAGCCGCGAGGCGGAGCCAAUCCUUCAAAGUCGGUCUCAGUUCGGAUUGCAGGCUGCAACUCGCCUGCAUGAAGUCGGAGUUGCUAGUAAACGCACGUCAGCACAGUGCGUUGAAUACGUUCCCGGGGCUUGUACACACCGCCCGUCACGUCAUGGAAGUUGGCAACGCCUAAAGUCAGUGGGCUAACCCUUCGGGGAGGCAGCUGCCUAAGGCGGGGUUGGUAACUGGGACGAAGUCGGAACAAGGUAGCUGUAGCGGAUGCUGCGGCUGGAUCACCUCCUUU